RNAcentral lists this ribosomal RNA (441 nucleotides) under uncultured bacterium. RNAcentral describes it as "bacterial SSU rRNA". It matches the Rfam family "Bacterial small subunit ribosomal RNA", at positions 97 to 520 of the family's 1533-position model. The record is from RNAcentral.
GGCGGACGGGUGAGUAACACGUAGGUAAUUUUCCCUUGAGCGGGGGACAACGAUUCGAAAGGAUCGCUAAUACCGCAUACGUUUCCAGAGACCUCGGUCUUUGGAAGGAAAGCUAGGCCGCAAGGUCCGGCACUCGAGGAGAAGCCUGCGUCGCAUCAGCUAGUUGGUGGGGUAACGGCCUACCAAGGCGAAGACGCGUAGCUGGUCUGAGAGGAUGAUCAGCCACACUGGGACUGAGACACGGCCCAGACUCCUACGGGAGGCAGCAGUGGGGAAUAUUGGACAAUGGGCGCAAGCCUGAUCCAGCCACGCCGCGUGAGUGAUGAAGGCCUUCGGGUCGUAAAGCUCUGUGGGGAGGGACGAACCGCUGGAUGUGCAUAGCAUCCAGCAUGACGGUACCUCCUUAGCAAGCACCGGCUAACUUCGUGCCAGCCGCCGCGG